This 215-nucleotide unclassified non-coding RNA is filed under the name Hevea brasiliensis (rubber tree). Lineage: Eukaryota; Viridiplantae; Streptophyta; Magnoliopsida; Malpighiales; Euphorbiaceae. The record is from RNAcentral.
UUAUCGUUAAGGAAUCGCCAUCCCAACUUCGCUAAAAGGGCAGAAUUUAUAUCCCGACUUCUUCGAAUACCAAGACCACCCUUAUCCGGCGACAAGGUAAGCUGAUGCCAAUUCACCAAAUGAACACGUCUCCAUCCCCGCUGAUCACCCCAGAUAAGACUCGGAAUCCGUUUAUCAAUCUCAUCGCAGACAGACAGUGGGAGAUACACCGACUG